AUCAGCCAAGAUCUUCUUAUCACCGUUUUGACUUACAAAUAGUAUGGAGCCUUUGCCUUUGAUGUCGAUUCUUGAGUCAUCUCCAAAUCUCAUUUUUCCUGUUACCGAAUAAUCAAUAUUCUUAAAGUACUCAUACCUCCCUGUCAUGUGAUUACUCACCCCAUUGUCGAGAUACCAAACUCUGUCACUAUCCGAGCUAGCUUCAAAUUCCUUGGGGUUUACGUUCUUCUCAUUGAGGUAGACUACUUCGUGCAUCAAUCACCUAUCUGCCUCUUGUGUAUCAUCUGUUAUCUCCUUGAGUCUGUUUUCGUAUGUCUCUUGAAGCUUCAAAAGUCUAUCAGGGCAACUGGACGCGAAGUGUCCUUUCUUGUCACACCUAAAACACGUAAUUCUUGAUAUGUCAAACUCUUGAUAAGAUCUUCCUCGUCCUCGUCCUCUUCCAUAUGAACGACCUCCUCGUCCUCUGUUUCUAAAGUCUCCAUUGUACUCUC
Molecule: long non-coding RNA, 491 nt
Filed under: Brassica napus (rape)
Lineage: Eukaryota; Viridiplantae; Streptophyta; Magnoliopsida; Brassicales; Brassicaceae
Description: long non-coding RNA (BNAP_LNC020958)
Source: RNAcentral